Long non-coding RNA from Numida meleagris (helmeted guineafowl), 2917 nucleotides. RefSeq lists it as uncharacterized. The transcript is spliced from 3 exons. The record is from RefSeq and is a predicted model, not a curated record. Lineage: Eukaryota; Metazoa; Chordata; Aves; Galliformes; Numididae.
ACAGAUGUCAAUUAUUAUUUGUAUCCUUCUGAGGGCUGUCCCUAAGAACACUAGUCAUGCAUGAGAACCCUGUUUUGGCAUAUGCAAUACAAACUCAGACACUGUUAUUUCAGAGUAAAAACAGGAUCCUUGCCUCAAAAACAGAAAAAGAUGGAGAGAACAAAUGAACCAGGAAAUAACACAAAAAUACUGAUUGGCAUAAUUAACAGUCUUUCUAUCAAAAUUAAUCUGAUAUCUCAUUUAAAUGUAUUUGUAAUCAAACAGUUCUAUCAGAUUCAGAAAUGAGAUUUCUUGAAUUUUGCCAAAAGCUUUUAAUUAUAUGUGCCCAGGCACAACAGCUCCAGACAAAACCUGUUUGGGGUGAUGGUUCCCUUUGUCCAGUAACUAAUAUGUCCCAGGUGCAGUUGUACAGAUACUUAGAUGCGCUGAUAACCCACUAAAGAGCUGUUCAUAGUGAUUGGAUUACUGCUUACCCUAUUACCACCAGUCCUAUGUACUUUAAAAAUUUAAUUGGAGUUUCACUGUAGUAAAUGUGAGGAAAAUAUCUUGGAGGAGUACGUGAGCAUACCAUUUUAAUGCUAAUGAUAUAAAUCAUGGGCAAUCAUGGACAAUAUUAGGAAAAAUCAAAGGAUCUGUGGACUCAGGCUACCAAAUACUUAAUUUAGCCCCCUGCAGAAGUAUUUAUUUUUCAGAUGAGCACAAAGCUGCUGUUUUCUUCUUGUACAACAACACCUACAGGUCUAAGCUGCUUUUUAAACUUUUGUUUCCAACCAAAAAUUGAUGUGAUUUUGUCAUCAUUGCUCAUCUCUUACAAAUGUCCUUAGAGAAAGUCCAGUCUAACUAGAGAGGAGAGCCUCUAGAGCCUCAUUAGACUUAUUCUCUCUUCUCAGCAGAGCUAUUACAAGCCUGCUUUUUGUCAGCACUUCUCUUAAGACUUGCAGCACAAUUUGUGCACCAACUCAUCUCUACAGUCAUCUUCUCAUAUGGGAAGAGCCAGAGGAUUUUCUUUUAUGUUGCUUCAUAUGCAGUCAUGUUACAGGUGAAUGGGAAAAAUGCAGGAGCAGAUGAAGCUGGUGGUAACUGGAACUUCACCCUGUUGCUGGAGCUGUUAUUAACUCGGCUAUCGUACACAGCUCACAUGGCAUGACUGAGAUUCUUUACACUGCUUCCCUCAAAUCCAGCAACUAUGCUGCGUGGGACCACCUCUGAGCAUGGAAAGGUGAGCUGCCAGUGAAUAUUAAAUCACAUUUUUCUGAUGGAACUGCAAAAAUACUGUAAAUUAGUGCCAGCUGUGGUCCUGUGGUGUACACACUGAGCUAUGAAUACCAAAGUACUGCUGGUAUUGGUAAUAGCUCAUAGCCCACAGUGAGCUAGAUUAAAGGUAAAAUGUUGUACCCUCCUUCCAGACUCUAAAAGAUUUUAGAUACCCUAAAAACAGAAGUAGUUUUAGGAAUGCACUGAGGAUCUGCUUCUACACUCUUCACACAUUAACUGCAGAAAUGACCGAUCUCAAAUAGAAAUGUGCACGUUUUAAGUUAGCCACCAGAUGGAGCUCAUACCUCCCACCGCACAAAUCCACGAACAUCUGCAAAGUUAAAACACUUCAUAGAUAUUACAAAGGAUGCUGUUUCUUCCACUUCAUAAAAGUCAGAGGAAGUCUGUGAUUAGCUCGAUGUUUACAAAUAAAGGGGAAUCUGGAGGCAGAUCAAAGGUAACUCUCCAGAUUUGGCAUGAUACCAAGUUCCUGUACUACUAGCAUCCGCAUGGGUUUGACUGUCAGAUUAAGUGGUUGAACUUAGCCCAUCUCAUCAUGAACUAGCAGUGCUUUUUUAAUGCUUAGCAUAUAUAUUAGAAAUCUGAAGAUUCAGCUAGCUAAGGACAUGGAAGAAAAAAAAAAUACGAAAAGAGAAGCAUUCAUGGUUUCUUCCUCACCCUACUUUCAGGAAUGCAAAGGGGAUCUGGAAGGGAACACAAGGCCUGUGGUAAAAUCCAAAGGAUACCGAACUUCACUAAACUUAAAUAGGAGCAGUAGCUCUCAAAGUCUGAUGGUCCAUUUGUACCAUAUUUGCUUUUCGCUGACUAGUCUGUAAUUCAUCCAGGAUCUCAGGGAUUUUGGCACAGCUCUAACAACUAGGGAGAAAAGCAGAUCUGAGAUAAAAGGUUGUGGUGUAUGAAAGACACUGAGUUAAUGUGUAUGUGUUUUAAGGGACAUCUUUGUUUUGACUCUGUGAAACAAACCAACAUAGUUUGUGAGGUCUAGAAGGCCACAGACUAUUUCUACUUUUAUAGUAGUGCUCUGUUUGAAAUUAGUAUUUUUAUUUGGGUCUAAGCCACACUGAACUCAAUCAAAUAAACAUUCUCCAAAGAAAACUUCCUUUGAACUAUUUAACUAUUCGUUUGCACAGCAAAAUAAAUCAGAAAGAACAGUAAUAUAUACUGAGAUAUUUAUUAUGUCUUAAUUGACAUAUUUUUCCAUUUUUAAGUUACAGUUCACGAGGAGCUCUGUCUUUGUGGCAGAAUUGACAAUGUUUGCAUAAACCAGUUGAAUUUAAGUGAAACACAACCCUGCCCAAAAGCAGACUAGGUGGGGCUUAUCCUCAUACUUCCAGGCACCCAGAUUGUGGCUGGUACUAUGAUUCACAACAGCAUAGGUAAAUGUACAAAAAUGAGGUUUAAUCUACCUGAUAGCAAUGCUGCUCAGAGAUCUGAGCUCUCUCCUGGGCUGUGGGAGGGUACUAAGACAACUUUUUCAUCUGUUCCCAGGGUUCCUAUCCUGUAUUCUCCCCUACAGUGCUACAGUAUCUUUCCUUCUCCCAAAUGAGGGAUAUUCUAGAUUUCAUCUCUAAAUGCUUCUACUUGGUAUAAACAGAAAAUCCAAACGGAUGACUUUUUAAAAUAGCAACCUUGUGACAGGGGA